GGGUAGGUACCAGAGUGGCCAAAUGGGGCGGACUGUAAAUCCGCUGGCUUACGCCUACGGGGGUUCGAAUCCCUCCCUGCCCACCA
This 86-nucleotide transfer RNA is filed under the name Herpetosiphon sp. Its description in RNAcentral is "tRNA-Tyr". It matches the Rfam family "tRNA". Rfam says of the family: Transfer RNA (tRNA) molecules are approximately 80 nucleotides in length. Their secondary structure includes four short double-helical elements and three loops (D, anti-codon, and T loops). Further hydrogen bonds mediate the characteristic L-shaped molecular structure. tRNAs have two regions of fundamental functional importance: the anti-codon, which is responsible for specific mRNA codon recognition, and the 3' end, to which the tRNAs corresponding amino acid is attached (by aminoacyl-tRNA synthetases). tRNAs cope with the degeneracy of the genetic code in two manners: having more than one tRNA (with a specific anti-codon) for a particular amino acid; and 'wobble' base-pairing, i.e. permitting non-standard base-pairing at the 3rd anti-codon position. The record is from RNAcentral. RNAcentral also lists the same sequence under 3 other names. Lineage: Bacteria; Bacillati; Chloroflexota; Chloroflexia; Herpetosiphonales; Herpetosiphonaceae.